Molecule: ribosomal RNA, 301 nt
Filed under: uncultured bacterium
Lineage: Bacteria
Description: partial 16S ribosomal RNA
Rfam family: Bacterial small subunit ribosomal RNA
Source: RNAcentral
CAGCCGCCGCGGUAAUACGAAGGGGGCUAGCGUUGCUCGGAAUGACUGGGCGUAAAAGGCGCGUAGGCGGUUCGUACAGUUGGAUGUGAAAUUCCUGGGCUUAACCUGGGGGCUGCAUCCAAUACGUGCGGGCUUGAGUGUGGAAGAGGGUUGUGGAAUUCCCAGUGUAGAGGUGAAAUUCGUUGAUAUUGGGAAGAACACCGACGGCGAAAGCACUCUGCUGGGCCGACACUGACACUGAGAGACGAAAGCUAGGGGAGCAAAUGGGAUUAGAUACCCCAGUAGUCCCUGUCUCUUAUAC